RNAcentral lists this long non-coding RNA (822 nucleotides) under Eucalyptus grandis. RNAcentral's name for it is "long non-coding RNA (EGRA_LNC004748)". The record is from RNAcentral. Lineage: Eukaryota; Viridiplantae; Streptophyta; Magnoliopsida; Myrtales; Myrtaceae.
GGUUUCUUGGCUUGUCUUUUUAGCCAAAAGAUUUGACGUUUAGAGGAGUUUACAGAGCAACGUGGGUCAGAAAUCAGUGGGUCUCUUGGCUUGUUCUUUUGGCCAAACAUAGAAGACAUGGCCACAAACAACUCGAGCUAUGCAGAAUCCGUAAAAGCUAGGUUAUGGGAAAUCUCUAGAAUCUUGGGAGAAAAAAAAAAAGAAACCCAAAAACUUGAAUGCUAAAGGUUUCAUUUUAUUCAUUGCAGCUCAUGGCUGGAAUAGGAAAAAAAGAAGAAGAGAAACUCAUACUUGAAUGCUAAAGUUGAUUCAGAAAUUCACAAUCUGCUCGCGAUUCCCUCUAUUCAUCUUCGUCUUCAUCUUCUUGAUGGCCAACUCCAUAUCUGAAACAAAGCCCCAUCCAUGGCCGCGACAAGCGAGGUCAAAGUAGGAGGAAGAGAGAGAGAAAAAGACUUGGGUGAGUCGAUAACCCACCGUCAUCCUCGUCGUCCUCCUCUUCCUCGCCGUCAUCCUCGUCGUCCACGCCGCCGCGCCCAUCUCCUUCGCCGUUCACUUCCUCCUAGCUUUGCAUGCCGUCUUCCUCCUCUUCUUCCUCAUCAACAGUGGCAGGGACGCAAUUCUCCUUCACAACCCUAACUUCCUCGUCCUCUUCGAACUUGAUCUCCUCUUCCUCGUCGGAAUUCAUUGUCGCAAUCACGACCUCAUGCACGCCGGGACAAUAAUCCGGUGAUUUCUCGGCUCGAUUCUGAACAAAAAUGAACGGAAAUCUUCGAGAAAAUGGAACAUAAUGGGAAAAAAUUUUCUGGGUGACGUGAAAAUGCC